GUGAACGCUGGCGGUAGGCCUAACACAUGCAAGUCGCACGGCAGCACAGUAAGAGCUUGCUCUUACGGGUGGCGAGUGGCGGACGGGUGAGGAAUACAUCGGAAUCUACUUUUUCGUGGGGGAUAACGUAGGGAAACUUACGCUAAUACCGCAUACGACCUACGGGUGAAAGCAGGGGAUCUUCGGACCUUGCGCGAUUGAAUGAGCCGAUGUCGGAUUAGCUAGUUGGCGGGGUAAAGGCCCACCAAGGCGGCGAUCCGUAGCUGGUCUGAGAGGAUGAUCAGCCACACUGGAACUGAGACACGGUCCAGACUCCUACGGGAGGCAGCAGUGGGGAAUAUUGGACAAUGGGCGCAAGCCUGAUCCAGCCAUACCGCGUGGGUGAAGAAGGCCUUCGGGUUGUAAAGCCCUUUUGUUGGGAAAGAAAAGCAGCAGGUUAAUACCCCGCUGUUCUGACGGUACCCAAAGAAUAAGCACCGGCUAACUUCGUG
RNAcentral lists this ribosomal RNA (491 nucleotides) under uncultured bacterium. RNAcentral describes it as "partial 16S ribosomal RNA". It matches the Rfam family "Bacterial small subunit ribosomal RNA", at positions 29 to 507 of the family's 1533-position model. The record is from RNAcentral.